This 384-nucleotide ribosomal RNA is filed under the name uncultured Methanosaeta sp. RNAcentral's name for it is "bacterial SSU rRNA". It matches the Rfam family "Archaeal small subunit ribosomal RNA", at positions 955 to 1338 of the family's 1478-position model. The record is from RNAcentral. Lineage: Archaea; Methanobacteriati; Methanobacteriota; Methanomicrobia; Methanotrichales; Methanotrichaceae.
CGAGCUGAAGACUUUUGCCGGAUUAGCUGAGAGGUGGUGCAUGGCCGUCGUCAGUUCGUACUGUGAAGCAUCCUGUUAAGUCAGGCAACGAGCGAGACCCACGCCCACAGUUGCCAGCGUACUCUCUGGAGUGACGGGUACACUGUGGGACCGCCGCUGCUAAAGCGGAGGAAGGAAUGGGCAACGGUAGGUCAGUAUGCCCCGAAUAUCCCGGGCUACACGCGAGCUACAAUGGUUGGUACAAUGGGUAUCUACCCCGAAAGGGGACGGGAAUCUCCUAAAACCAAUCUUAGUUCGGAUUGAGGGCUGCAACUCGCCCUCAUGAAGCUGGAAUCCGUAGUAAUCGCGUUUCAACAGAACGCGGUGAAUACGUCCCUGCUCCUU